UACGUAGGGUGCAAGCGUUGUCCGGAAUUAUUGGGCGUAAAGAGCUCGUAGGCGGUUUGUUGCGUCGGCUGUGAAAUCCCGAGGCUCAACCUCGGGUCUGCAGUCGAUACGAGCAAACUAGAGUGUUGCAGGGGAGACUGGAAUUCCUGGUGUAGCGGUGAAAUGCGCAGAUAUCAGGAGGAACACCGGUGGCGAAGGCGGGUCUCUGGGCAACAACUGACGCUGAGGAGCGAAAGCCGUGGGGAGCGAACAGG
RNAcentral lists this ribosomal RNA (254 nucleotides) under uncultured bacterium. RNAcentral describes it as "partial 16S ribosomal RNA". It matches the Rfam family "Bacterial small subunit ribosomal RNA", at positions 524 to 776 of the family's 1533-position model. The record is from RNAcentral.